This 206-nucleotide ribosomal RNA is filed under the name uncultured bacterium. RNAcentral's name for it is "partial 16S ribosomal RNA". It matches the Rfam family "Bacterial small subunit ribosomal RNA", at positions 568 to 774 of the family's 1533-position model. The record is from RNAcentral.
CGUGUAGGCGGUCAAGUAAGUGGAAUGUGAAAUGCCCCGGCUCACCCGGGGACCGGCAUCCCAAACUGCUUGGCUUGAGUAUGGGAGAGGAUGAGGGAAUUCCUGGUGUAGCGGUGAAAUGCGUAGAUAUCAGGAGGAACACCGGUGGCGAAAGCGCUCAUCUGGCCCAAUACUGACGCUGAGGCGCGAAAGCUAGGGAGCAAACG